AUGGCGAGCGACGUGCCCAUGACCCCGGAGCUCGAGCAGAUCGACGGAGAGAUCCAGGACAUCUUCCGCGCACUCCAAAAUGGGUUCCAAAAGAUGGACAAGAUUAAAGAUUCUAAUAGGCAAGCUAAACAAUUGGAGGAUCUUACAGGGAAAAUGAAGGAGUGCAAGCGCUUGAUCAAAGAGUUUGAUCGUAUUCUGAAAGACGAGGAGUCAAAGAACCCUCCUGAAGUCAACAAGCAGCUAAAUGACAGAAAACAGUAUAUGAUCAAAGAGUUGAACUCCUAUGUCACCUUGAGGAAGACAUACCAAAGUAGCCUUGGUAACAACAAGCGGGUUGAACUCUUUGAUAUGGGUGCUACAAGUAGUGAGCCUGCCGCAGAUGACAAUAUUCAAAUGGCAUCAGCUAUGACGAAUCAACAACUCAUUGAUUCUGGAAGAAACCAAAUGGAUCAAACAGAUGAAGCUAUUGCACGUUCAAAAAUGGUUGUUGCGCAAACUGUCGAAGUUGGAUCUCAAACUGCUACAACAUUAACACAGCAGACGGAACAAAUGAAGAGAAUUGGCAAUGAGCUCGAUUCGGUUCACUUUUCAUUGAAGAAAGCUAGCCAGCUUGUGAAAGAGAUUGGCCGGCAGGUAGCAACAGACAAAUGCAUCAUGGGGUUGCUUGCUCUGAUAGUUUUUGGCGUUAUUGCAAUUAUCAUUGUUAAGAUCGUCAACCCGCAUAACAAGAACAUCCCAGAUAUCCCAGGAAUGGCUCCACCUGCUCAAAAUUUUCAGACUAACAGGAGAUUGUUGUCAGCAAAAGCUUUCAGAAGUCUUUGA
RNAcentral lists this ribosomal RNA (822 nucleotides) under Triticum aestivum (bread wheat). RNAcentral's name for it is "partial small subunit ribosomal RNA". Lineage: Eukaryota; Viridiplantae; Streptophyta; Magnoliopsida; Poales; Poaceae. The record is from RNAcentral.